GGAAAGAGAACUUAUGGUUGUGUUAGUAAUAAAUCCAAAUUGCUCUUUGCUCUGUUAGAUUGAUCUAAGUCUUGUAAUUCUUGUUUGAAUUGAAGUGGAUGGUGUAAUAAAUGCUUGCGUUAGUGAUGGUUGGUGAAAGUCGAUGGUUGUUAGAUAUAUGUCAAGUCCUUCUUCUCUUAACUGUGAUGAAUUGUCUCAGCUGUGAUGAAUGUGUUUAGGUAUAUGUCAAAUCCUCUUCCCUCUAUUAAACGCAAAGCUCCUUCUAUUCUUUAUCAUAAACACCUUCUCUCUGAUCUUCUCUUCC
This 304-nucleotide long non-coding RNA is filed under the name Brassica napus (rape). RNAcentral's name for it is "long non-coding RNA (BNAP_LNC016645)". The record is from RNAcentral. Lineage: Eukaryota; Viridiplantae; Streptophyta; Magnoliopsida; Brassicales; Brassicaceae.